RNAcentral lists this ribosomal RNA (460 nucleotides) under uncultured bacterium. Its description in RNAcentral is "partial 16S ribosomal RNA". It matches the Rfam family "Bacterial small subunit ribosomal RNA", at positions 338 to 795 of the family's 1533-position model. The record is from RNAcentral.
CCUACGGGAGGCAGCAGUGAGGAAUAUUGGUCAAUGGCCGAGAGGCUGAACCAGCCAAGUCGCGUGAGGGAUGACGGCCCUACGGGUUGUCAACCUCUUUUGUCGGGGAGCAAAGAGAGUCACGUGUGGCUCAUUGAGAGUACCCGAAGAAAAAGCAUCGGCUAACUCCGUGCCAGCAGCCGCGGUAAUACGUAGGUGGCAAGCGUUGUCCGGAAUUACUGGGUGUAAAGGGAGCGUAGGCGGGAUGUCAAGGCAGAAGUGAAAAUUAUGGGCUCAACUCAUAACCUGCUUUUGAAACUGAUAUUCUUGAGUGAAGUAGAGGCAAGCGGAAUGCCUAGUGUAGCGGUGAAAUGCGUAGAUAUUAGGAGGAACACCAGUGGCGAAGGCGGCUUGCUGGGCUUUGACUGACGCUGAGGCUCGAAAGCGUGGGGAGCAAACAGGAUUAGAUACCCUAGUAGUC